Molecule: long non-coding RNA, 231 nt
Filed under: Capra hircus (goat)
Lineage: Eukaryota; Metazoa; Chordata; Mammalia; Artiodactyla; Bovidae
Description: lncRNA (ENSCHIG00000007724.1)
Source: RNAcentral
AUGGGGGUGGUGCGGGCUGACUCAUCCCCUCCCUGGGCUGGAAGCCAGCACUCAGCUACCUGUUGGGCCAGUCAAGUAGGGGCGGGGCAGUCAGUCAGCCCCUCCCAGGACCUGCCCUCAGGCCAGUCCGGAGCAGCGACCCAUCAGGCCCAACACACAACCAGGGCUGGACCCCAGGAAGUGAAGAAAGCCAGCGGUGAGCACAUGGUCAGGUCCACUGAUAGCCCAUGA